GUCGGAGUGGCGGAAUUGGUAGACGCGCUGGGCUUAGGACCCAGUGGGGUAAUACCCGUGGGGGUUCGAGUCCCUCCUCCGACA
This 84-nucleotide transfer RNA is filed under the name Candidatus Omnitrophota bacterium. RNAcentral describes it as "Candidatus Omnitrophica bacterium tRNA-Leu". It matches the Rfam family "tRNA". From Rfam's summary of the family: Transfer RNA (tRNA) molecules are approximately 80 nucleotides in length. Their secondary structure includes four short double-helical elements and three loops (D, anti-codon, and T loops). The record is from RNAcentral. RNAcentral also lists the same sequence under 1 other name. Lineage: Bacteria; Pseudomonadati; Candidatus Omnitrophota.